AAUGCUUAGGAAUCUGCCUAUUAGUGGGGGACAACAUUCCGAAAGGAAUGCUAAUACCGCAUACGCCCUACGGGGGAAAGCAGGGGAUCUUCGGACCUUGCGCUAAUAGAUGAGCCUAAGUCAGAUUAGCUAGUUGGUGGGGUAAAGGCCUACCAAGGCGACGAUCUGUAGCGGGUCUGAGAGGAUGAUCCGCCACACUGGGACUGAGACACGGCCCAGACUCCUACGGGAGGCAGCAGUGGGGAAUAUUGGACAAUGGGCGAAAGCCUGAUCCAGCCAUGCCGCGUGUGUGAAGAAGGCCUUUUGGUUGUAAAGCACUUUAAGCGAGGAGGAGGCUACUUGGAUUAAUACUCUAGGAUAGUGGACGUUACUCGCAGAAUAAGCACCGGCUAACUCUGUGCCAGCAGCCGCGGUAAUACAGAGGGUGCGAGCGUUAAUCGGAUUUACUGGGCGUAAAGCGUGCGUAGGCGGCUUUUUAAGUCGGAUGUGAAAUCCCUGAGCUUAACUUAGGAAUUGCAUUCGAUACUGGGAAGCUAGAGUAUGGGAGAGGAUGGUAGAAUUCCAGGUGUAGCGGUGAAAUGCGUAGAGAUCUGGAGG
RNAcentral lists this ribosomal RNA (597 nucleotides) under uncultured bacterium. RNAcentral describes it as "bacterial SSU rRNA". It matches the Rfam family "Bacterial small subunit ribosomal RNA", at positions 112 to 704 of the family's 1533-position model. The record is from RNAcentral.